UUUGGGGAGUGUUGACAGAUUGAGAGCUCUUUCUUGAUUCGGUGGAUGAUGGUGCAUGUCCGUUCUUAGUUGGUGGAGCGAUUUGCCUGGUUAAUCCCGAUAACGAACGAGACUCUAGCCUAUUAAAUAGGAGCGUGGUUCUCUCCACCUUGCAUCCAAGCGGCUCCUAGCAGCACGAAGAAACCAUCUUCCCGAGGGGAACCAUGGGGUGAUGCGGAGGAUCGCGGAGUUUCCAACAACGUUCACGCGAUGUGAGGUAACCAACGCAAGUUAACAACGUAAUAACACGCAAGUUUUCACACUUGAAGGAGAGUAGACUAGAGGAAGAGAGUUGCGCAUGUGCGCGCGGUGUGAGUAGAAGCGGCACGCGAAGUGCACGCAGCUGGUAGAGAGAGAUAGCGGAGAGAGUAACGCGCAGCAGUUGGAGAGAGGGAAGGAGGAGAGUUGCGCAUGCGUAGUGUGAGUGCGGACUACGACGCCGCGGGACAUAGACCCGAGCAAGAGAUGCUCCGCAUCUAAAAAGAGCUAUAACAGAUCUGUGAUGCCCUUAGAU
Non-coding RNA from Ixodes scapularis (black-legged tick), 553 nucleotides. The record is from Rfam. Lineage: Eukaryota; Metazoa; Arthropoda; Arachnida; Ixodida; Ixodidae.